This 892-nucleotide ribosomal RNA is filed under the name uncultured organism. RNAcentral describes it as "bacterial SSU rRNA". It matches the Rfam family "Bacterial small subunit ribosomal RNA", at positions 8 to 913 of the family's 1533-position model. The record is from RNAcentral.
AGACUUUGAUUCUGGCUCAGGACGAACGCUGGCGGUGCGCCUAACACAUGCAAGUCGAACGAGCGAGAGAGAGCUUGCUUUCUCGAGCGAGUGGCGAACGGGUGAGUAACGCGUGAGGAACCUGCCUCAAAGAGGGGGACAACAGUUGGAAACGACUGCUAAUACCGCAUAAGCCCACGGGUCGGCAUCGACCAGAGGGAAAAGGAGCAAUCCGCUUUGAGAUGGCCUCGCGUCCGAUUAGCUAGUUGGUGAGGUAACGGCCCACCAAGGCAACGAUCGGUAGCCGGACUGAGAGGUUGAACGGCCACAUUGGGACUGAGACACGGCCCAGACUCCUACGGGAGGCAGCAGUGGGGAAUAUUGCACAAUGGGGGAAACCCUGAUGCAGCGACGCCGCGUGGAGGAAGAAGGUCUUCGGAUUGUAAACUCCUGUUGUUGAGGAAGAUAAUGACGGUACUCAACAAGGAAGUGACGGCUAACUACGUGCCAGCAGCCGCGGUAAAACGUAGGUCACAAGCGUUGUCCGGAAUUACUGGGUGUAAAGGGAGCGCAGGCGGGAAGACAAGUUGGAAGUGAAAUCCAUGGGCUCAACCCAUGAACUGCUUUCAAAACUGUUUUUCUUGAGUAGUGCAGAGGUAGGCGGAAUUCCCGGUGUAGCGGUGGAAUGCGUAGAUAUCGGGAGGAACACCAGUGGCGAAGGCGGCCUACUGGGCACCAACUGACGCUGAGGCUCGAAAGUGUGGGUAGCAAACAGGAUUAGAUACCCUGGUAGUCCACACCGUAAACGAUGAUUACUAGGUGUUGGAGGAUUGACCCCUUCAGUGCCGCAGUUAACACAAUAAGUAAUCCACCUGGGGAGAAAGACCGCAAGGUUGCAACUCAAAGGAAUUGA